This is a long non-coding RNA of Vanessa atalanta (red admiral), 1469 nucleotides long. RefSeq lists it as uncharacterized. The record is from RefSeq and is a predicted model, not a curated record. The transcript is spliced from 2 exons. NCBI's taxonomy places the organism in Eukaryota, Metazoa, Arthropoda, Insecta, Lepidoptera, Nymphalidae.
GUUCUUAGAUAAUGUCAAACCAGUUUUCCAGCUACGUUUGUGUUUCUGCACAGUGACGAUCGACACUUAACGUUACGGUUGAUUUCGUUGAAAUGCUCAGCACGGUAUUUACUGUGCUAAUAAAUAGAGUCGUGAUCACUGUUGACAUUUCUUCCUUCCUUUUCUCGACAUAAAUUGUUGAGUUUUGAAUAGAAGUGCGUGUUCGGUGUUUAUGUUUUUUUGUUAAAUAAUAUAAUAAUGUUUUUAUCUUACGAUGUGAUUGCUACUUUCGGCGUAUCGGCGUUGGUGUCAUUCUUCGUGUCAGUGACAUUACUCCUAACCGUUGCAUCGAAGCGGGGACUGUUACGUAUGCCAACUAGCAAUGAAUCUUUGGUCUCUCCGUUGAAGGAGAAGAUCGUACCAUCUGCGCCCGAACUAGCUCCACUAGCCGAUUCUUCAUAAGCAGACAAAACCAGUAAAAAAAUAUACGACUUUGUAAUAUUACCACUAGUUGAUUACUAAUAAAUUAAUUAGAAGUGUAUUACAUUAAUACACUCUUCAAAAAACAUGAAAUAACUGUCCUAUGUAAUGGCAUUUAUUGUUGGCCUCAUUAGGAAUGGCAGAGCAAUGGUAACGCAUGUAGUCAUUUCCAAUGGCAGGAAGAUAAUAAAAAUAAACAAAUUUAACCUUGAAUUGAUAUGAUAUUAUACGUCGAAACAAGCUGUGUUGUUCAUUGUGAUUUUGUGAAAAAAUGGCGCUUUGAGUUUCGGCGAAAAGUAAAAUGAAAAUAGAUAUAUAGGUAUCUAGUUUUAAGGAACAGUGUUGUAUUAUAAAUAAACACUUACUACUACUUAAUACUUUAAGAACUCUAUAGUCCAUGACAUUAGCAAAUUGCAUGGAGUAUAUAAAUCUAAGGUUUGUUUAUCUUUACGUCUGCUGCCAUUGGAAUGAAAUAAAGGUGUAUAUUUUACCUAUCGCUAACCAGAACGAAAGGUGAAUGAGUCAAAGUAAUUAAAAAAAAACUGGUACAAAAUACCAUUAAAUAAUUAUGUUAUUAUUAUAGCAUGAUAACUCCAUUUGAUUUAUUAUUAUAUAAUAAGUUAAUUAUGGAAUACAAACUAGCAAAUAAUUAUUUUGUCCGGAAUGUUCGUUACGAUUUGAAAUUUAUCAUUAAAUAUGCGUUCUAAUAAUUCUAAUAAUUUAAAUUUUUUUGCAAAAUUAUAUCUAAUAUCGUACAUGAAUUGUAUAUAUAACGUUUAAAAUCAACCGGAAGAAUAGUUUAGGUACAAAAGAUGCAUUUAUUAUACAAACUGGUACUUACCAGUACUCUUUUAGUAACGCCAUCUAUCGGAAAUCGGAACGAACGUUCCGAGUGACUUAUUACGAACGCACUUAAUAAAGAAACUAAGUCAAGUUAUAAGUAAAACAAAAAUUACAACGCACAUUAUUUUUUGGAAAACGAUGUUACAAUAAAAUUGAAUUUUAUAAUU